This 272-nucleotide ribosomal RNA is filed under the name uncultured soil bacterium. RNAcentral's name for it is "partial 16S ribosomal RNA". It matches the Rfam family "Bacterial small subunit ribosomal RNA", at positions 26 to 285 of the family's 1533-position model. The record is from RNAcentral.
AGAAUCAACGCUGGCGGCGUGCCUAACACAUGCAAGUCGAACGCGAAAGCCCCGAAAGGGGCAAGUAGAGUGGCAAACGGGUGAGUAACACGUGGGUGACCUGCCUUCGAGCGGGGGAUAACGUCCCGAAAGGGACGCUAAUACCGCAUAACAUCCUGCCUUUGAAGAGGUGGAGAUCAAAGCUGGGGAUCGCAAGACCCGGCACUUGAAGAGGGGCCCGCGUCUGAUUAGCUAGUUGGUGGGGUAACGGCCUACCAAGGCAACGAUCAGUA